Molecule: ribosomal RNA, 273 nt
Filed under: uncultured Chitinophagaceae bacterium
Lineage: Bacteria; Pseudomonadati; Bacteroidota; Chitinophagia; Chitinophagales; Chitinophagaceae
Description: partial 16S ribosomal RNA
Rfam family: Bacterial small subunit ribosomal RNA
Source: RNAcentral
UACGGAGGGUGCAAGCGUUAUCCGGAUUCACUGGGUUUAAAGGGUGCGUAGGUGGGCAAGUAAGUCAGUGGUGAAAUCUCUGGGCUUAGCCCGGAAACUGCCAUUGAUACUAUUUGUCUUGAAUUCUCUGGAGGUAAGCGGAAUAUGUCAUGUAGCGGUGAAAUGCUUAGAUAUGACAUAGAACACCCAUUGCGAAGGCAGCUUACUACGGAGACAUUGACACUGAGGCACGAAAGCGUGGGGAUCAAACAGGAUUAGAAACCCCGGUAGUCC